This 78-nucleotide transfer RNA is filed under the name bacterium. RNAcentral's name for it is "tRNA-Pro". It matches the Rfam family "tRNA". Rfam says of the family: Transfer RNA (tRNA) molecules are approximately 80 nucleotides in length. Their secondary structure includes four short double-helical elements and three loops (D, anti-codon, and T loops). The record is from RNAcentral. RNAcentral also lists the same sequence under 2 other names.
CGGGGUGUAGCUCAGCCUGGCUAGAGCACUGCGUUCGGGACGCAGGGGUCGCUGGUUCAAAUCCAGUCACCCCGACCA